Long non-coding RNA from Solenopsis invicta (red fire ant), 648 nucleotides. RefSeq lists it as uncharacterized. The transcript is spliced from 2 exons. The record is from RefSeq and is a predicted model, not a curated record. Lineage: Eukaryota; Metazoa; Arthropoda; Insecta; Hymenoptera; Formicidae.
UGAUUGGCGAAAUUCAAAGACCAGUGUAUCGUGGAGUUCCACUCCGGUUGCGCCUUCAGUAUCCUGUGAGUAAUAUCCGGCAGAUGCAGGAUGAUGUCUCCAAAGAGCGCGAUGUUCUCCAAGAUGCUAGACAAUGCUGCACCAAGUAAAGGAGAUUAGUCCAAAUGCGUACUUUGCGAAAUCUAGAUUUGAUUCCUUGGAUGAGUAAUCGUACCAUCUUUAAUGUUGGUAUCUUCCGGAAAGGAAUUGUUCUGCGGCAGAAAACCGGCCUUUUCGAUAACGCUCUUACUCGAUUCGAUGACCUCCACCACCUUCUCAGCCAACACCGAGAUCAUCUUGUAUAGACGCUCGUAAUUGUCCAUCUUUAGGAGUGUCUGCACAGCUUCUAUGUGGUCCUUCCGCCGUUGAGCAAAUAGUUUCUUGACUAUUGCAAAAAAGCGAGAGUAACGAAGUAAUAAAUAAUAAAGUAGCAAAUUAAAGAUUAAGAUAAAAUACGGGACAAAAUAUUUAUGGUAAAUAUUGAAAAUAUUUCGAGUAAAUAUUUAAGAUAAAAUAUUUAAAGAAUUACUGUACCAAUUGCUAAACAAUCACUAGUAAAUGAUUUUUUAACGAUAAGACAAAUAUUAAAAUAAUAAGACUUCAAAAUAA